Non-coding RNA from Oryctolagus cuniculus (rabbit), 1438 nucleotides. NCBI's taxonomy places the organism in Eukaryota, Metazoa, Chordata, Mammalia, Lagomorpha, Leporidae. The record is from RefSeq and is a predicted model, not a curated record.
UGUUCCUGCAUUAUGUUUGUGGGGAGGUAGAGGUGUGGUGUGGUGUGUGUGUCUAUGUGAGGUGUCAUGGGUGUGUGUGUUGUGUGUUCCUGUGUUCCAUGUGUGAGUGGAGACCUGUAUGUAUGGGUCAUGGAUGUUGUGUAUUCCUGCAGUAUGUGUGUGGGGAGGUAUGGUGUGGUGUGUGUGCGGGGAAGUUUUGUGUGCGUGGCAUGUAUUGUGGACUCCUGUGUUAAGUGUGUGGGUAGGAGGUGUGUGUAUGGGUAUUUAAGUUCCUGUGUUGCGUGUGCGUGUGCAUAGGUGGUAAGCAGAGGCAGAGAAGGGAGCCAGCUGUUGUAGGCACCGAGGUCCACUAUGCUCACCCACAAUCCGUGAGAUGUCUGUGAGUGACUGCAUUGUGCAUGCACGUUCUAAUGCCUCAGGCUGGGGGUGUCAGCAGGGAUCGACCCCCGAGGAUGAUGACUGCUGGCAGCCUCCGCUCCCCAGCUCAGGGCAGGCAGGGCUUUGCUCUAGAUGGGACCACAGCAGGCUCAGGUCUUCUGCCUAUUGCCGGGUCAGCGCUCGCUGCUGGGAGGCUGGGUGGCUCACUCACAGGAGGGUGCUGGCAGUCCCCAUGCCUGGUGGCCUGGGGCUCCCCCGUCCUUCCACAUGUCUGGACAGUCCCAGUUCCACUCUAUCCCUGCCUUUCCUUCCAGCUCUAACCUUUGCUUUCUGGCUGCACACUGCCUCCGCCAUCCACUGCCAAAUGUUCAGUGGAAAACAAAAGAGUAGCCUUCAAGGAAUCUUGAGAGAGUAAUUAAGAUUUUUUUUUUUACAUAUUAAUUUCUUCAAGCCAAAUAAAGCCAACCGCAGACCUAAUGGGAGAUCUACUGAUGGCAGAGCAAGGUCCACCCCCAGCACCAGGAGCCAUAUCAGAAGGCCAGGGUCAAGUGAGAGGCUUCCUCUUCACUGAAAAAUCUAUCAUGGUCCUAUUCUUGUUGUCACCACUGCAAAGGAGCAGAACAAUCACGAGGAGCUACAAAUAAAGCGAAAUCGGGGAAUACAAGGUGCUUUCACAGGGGAAAAAAGCUAUAAUGCAUCUUCUUUGACUUCUCCCAUUUCCCCCCAUCCUCCUAAAGUGCCUGUCUGUUGCCUGUGCUCCUCAACCACAGCAUAAAAUAUGACUUUGAUACCAGAAAAAAAAAAAAAAGAAGCCAAAAAACCUGCUGCUCUCUCAGGCACAUUGACUCCAAUGGUGCUUCUGGAAGGCUAACCAGGUGGAAAUGUCAGUGGUUUCUCUGCACCUCUAAUCUCCAGGCAGAUGUGCCUGCCAGACAGCCCUGACUUCAAUCAGCCACGCUCGGCUGUGUCUGCUGGACAUCCAAAGAAGCUCCCACUGGUCCUAUGAAACUUGACCUCAUCAGCACAGCCUCUGAUGCACAUGGGCAAUACCAGGGCUGGG